GGAUGGAUCAUUAAACUUAUCCAAGUAUCAACCAAACAACGCGCACUUAUUUGAUUCUGUUCGAAAAUUUAUUUCUCAUGCGAUACCAGUAGUACGGGAAGAUCACGAGGUCGACAGGGGCAGAGUUCUUUUGCCCUGAAUCCCAUGGUGAAUUAGUACCCGAAGCUUAAGCAAGAUAAAAUUUUUACAUAGCAGAACCUUUUUAACACUUUGUACCAUUCUACCUUUUUUUAUUUUCUUUGUUGCGGCCGAAAGGCGGACUUUCUUUUUAAGAAAUUUUUGUACAACUCUUAACAACGGAUAUCUAGGCUCUCGGAUCGAUGAAGAACGCAGCGAAAUGCGAUACGUAAUGCGAAUUGCAGGAUUCAGUGAAUCAUCAAAUCUUUGAACGCAACUUGCAGUUAUUGGUAACCCGAUAACUAUACUUCUCUGAGUAUCGUCUUCAAACCAACUCGCCUGCGUGCUUUGAUUUUUUUUCCAAUUGCCAACGCGAGAGGAAAAAAGAACGAAGUUACAAUGGCGGAAAAUGAGUGUCUGGCUUAAACCGCUAGUCGCUUGAAAUGCAGUGUUUUGUCUCAUUGUGGAAAUGGGAUUACUAGUUUGUUUACGGUUGUUAGCACUUCUUUCGGGGAGAGUUAAUGUGAAGAUCGUAAGCGGCGGAUUUAGAAGCCAAGUAGCAUACCCUGCUCUUGGUCGUAAACCUUGAAGCGAGUCUUCUGGUCUCGAUUUAAGUCUUAACGAAGAGUGUACGAAACUGAUUUUUGAGCGCUAAAUCCAACUAGUUGAAGUGUGAUAACGGAGACACCUUUCGGGGAGUUUCUUGACCCAACUUCGGCUAGGGAUGCAAAGAUUUCAGCUAGUACGUUAUACACGCUCUUUGUGAGGCAAGGGACUAAGGGGAGGAACUUCUGUAGGACAACGACCGAGGUGAAUUGAGGAAUAGCGUCACCAUGCGUUUCUUCUCAGUUUAUUUGUAACAAGGCGGGGGUUUAGAGCUGAAGGUGCUUCGUUUUAACAAUCUUUUAGUAAUCUUACUUAUAAAAUUUCGUGACAAUAAAUGACAACGUUUGUCUUGUGUUGUAAAGUUGAGUGGGAGAAAUUCCGCCUGACCUUGCCCCAAGAAAUAUACCCUUGAAAUUUGAUCUCAGAUGAAGUAAGACUACCCGCCGAAUUUAAGCAUAUUAUUAAGCGGAGGAAAAGAAACUAACAAGGAUUCCCCUAGUAACGGCGAGUGAAGCGGGAAGAGCUCAAAGUUAAAAUCGGUGUACCUAGCGGUGCUCCGAAAUGUAAUCUGGAGACCUUGUCCCAGUCUAGACCCGGGUUUAAAUCCUUUGAAACAGGGUGUCAUAGAGGGUGAGAAUCCCGUCUUUGACUCGGAGUUCUAGGCGUACGGGCGGGGAUCAAAGAGUCAGAUAGCUUGGGAAUGCUGUCCUAAAUGGGAGGUAAAUUUCUUCUAAAGCUAAAUACAGCCGAGAGACGAUAGCGAACAAGUACCGUGAGGGAAAGAUGAAAAGAACUUUGAAAAGAGAGUUAAAAAGUACUUGAAAUUGUUAAGAGGUAAGCUUUGAAAACCAGUGCUGCUGGGCCCCACUUAGCUGUCGCUGAAAGGCACGUCCCGUCCAACGACCUAGAAAGCGUUUGUUCAGGCUGCUCUAAGGCAAGGCGACGUGGGCUUGGUGAGUCAAGGUCAGGUAGAGGUGUGGGAGAAAGCUUGCGAAAGAAGGGCUGCUAGGCGCGAGUCUAGUGGCAGUUUAGACGCCUGCUCUACUAUGUCACUGCCUGAGGUAAAACUCGACAACGUGCCACGCGGUUAUUGGGCCCCGGGGAUCGGCCGUCGACUCACGAUUGUGUCGUGUUAGAUUGCCGGUUUUUGAUGGUUUGAUAAUUGACAGUACGUUCGCGAUCUUGACGAAAUGGUUUUCAAAGACCCGUCUUGAAACACGGACCAAGGAGUCUAACCUAUAUGCGAGUAUUUGGGUGUAAAAACCCUGAUGCGAAAUGAAAGUGAAGGUAGCGAAAGCUGCUGAGGUAGGAAUCCCGCAAGGGAGGCACUAUCGACCGAUCGAUCCUUUUGGAAAGAUUUGAGUAAGAGCAUAUCUGUUGGGACCCGAAAGAUGGUGAACUAUGCCUGAUCAGGGUGAAGCCAGGGGAAACUCUGGUGGAGGCUCGUAGCGAUACUGACGUGCAAAUCGUUCGUCUGAAUUGGGUAUAGGGGCGAAAGACUAAUCGAACCAUCUAGUAGCUGGUUCCCGC
This 2253-nucleotide unclassified non-coding RNA is filed under the name uncultured fungus. Its description in RNAcentral is "sequence contains 18S rRNA gene, ITS1, 5.8S rRNA gene, ITS2, 28S rRNA gene". The stretch from base 1140 to 2253 matches the Rfam family "Eukaryotic large subunit ribosomal RNA", at positions 1 to 961 of the family's 3401-position model. Lineage: Eukaryota; Fungi. The record is from RNAcentral.